AUUGACCGCUGGCGGCAGGCCUAACACAUGCAAGUCGAGCGGAGCGGCGGACGGGUGAGUAAUGCCUAGGAAUCUGCCUGGUAGUGGGGGAUAACGUCCGGAAACGGGCGCUAAUACCGCAUACUAUCAGAUGAGCCUAGGUCGGAUUAGCUAGGUGGUGGGUUAAAGGACUACCAAGGCGACGAUCCUUAACUGGUCUGAGAGAAUGAUCAGGCAAACUGGAACUGAGACAGGUUCCAGACUUCUACGGGAGGCAGCAGUGGGGAAUAUUGGACAAUGGGCGAAAGCCUGAUCCAGCCAUGCCGCGGGUGUGAAGAAGGUUUGCGGAUUGUAAAGCACUUUAAGUUGGGAGGCGUGACCAACAGAAUAAGCACCGGCUAACUUCGUGCCAGCAGCCGGGUAAUAC
This 406-nucleotide ribosomal RNA is filed under the name uncultured bacterium. Its description in RNAcentral is "partial 16S ribosomal RNA". It matches the Rfam family "Bacterial small subunit ribosomal RNA", at positions 30 to 526 of the family's 1533-position model. The record is from RNAcentral.